AACUCUCUGAACUUUGGGGACCGUCCCCGAAGCGCCGGAACUCGGGGUUGGCGAGCCUGCCCCAGGAUCCCCACCCUGGGCCGCGCCCCUGCACGCCGAUCCUCUUGGUUUGCCCCCUGCGGACACGUGCGUGGACUCCGAGGACCUCGGGGGUCCCGGGCGGAGCUGACGGCCCCCAGACCGGCGCCGGGCCACGAUGCACAUGAGGAAAGUGCCUGGCUUCGUCCCAGCCUCCCCGUGGGGGCUGCGACUGCCGCAGAAGUUCCUUUUCCUUCUCUUCCUCUCGGGCCUCGUUACCUUGUGCUUUGGGGCCCUCUUCCUGCUGCCCCACUCUUCUCGCCUCAAGCGCCUCUUCCUGGCAUCCCGGACCCAGCAGCCCGGCCUGGAGGUGAUGGCCGAAGUCGCCGGCCACCCUUCGGCCCGCGAGCAGGAGCCACCCCCUAAGCCAGCCCCUGCGGUGCCGGCCCCGGGUGAAGAUGACCCCAGCAGCCGGGCGGGUCCCCGCCCCAGGAAGGGAUGGCUGCGGCGCACCCGCCCCACCGGACCGCGGGAGGAAGCCACGGCUGCCCGGGGCAGCGGUGUUGCGGCCCUGAGGCCGGGCGAGGAGAGCAUCCCAUUCAGCUUUGACUUCAGCGCGUUCCGGAGUCGCCUCCGGCACCCAGUCCUGGGGACAAGGACUGAUGAAAGUAAGGAGCCCCAGAGUCGAGUGAGAGCCCAGCGGGAGAAAAUCAAGGAGAUGAUGCGCUUUGCCUGGCAGAGCUACCGGCGCUACGCGAUGGGAAGGAACGAGCUCCGCCCGCUCACCAAGGAUGGCUACGAGGGCAGCAUGUUCGGUGGCCUCAGUGGGGCAACUAUCAUUGAUUCCCUCGACACCCUCUACCUCAUGGAGCUGAAGGAGGAGUUCCAGGAGGCCAAGGCCUGGGUGGAAGAGAGCUUCCACCUGAACGUGAGUGGAGAAGCGUCCUUGUUUGAGGUGAACAUUCGCUACAUCGGAGGGCUCCUCUCAGCCUACUACCUGACGGGAGAGGAGGUGUUCCGAAUAAAGGCCAUCAAGCUGGGAGAGAAGUUGCUGCCAGCCUUCAACACCCCCACAGGAAUCCCAAAGGGCGUUGUGAACUUCAAAAGUGGGAGCUGGGGCUGGGCCACUGCAGGCAGCAGCAGCAUCCUGGCAGAGUUUGGAUCCCUGCACUUGGAAUUCUUACACCUCACUGAGCUCUCAGGCAACCCCAUCUUCGCAAAAAAGGUCAGGAACAUCCGCAAGGUCCUCAGGAAAAUCGAUAAGCCCUUUGGCCUCUACCCCAACUUCCUCAGCCCAGUGAGUGGGAACUGGGUACAACACCAUGUCUCUGUUGGAGGACUCGGCGAUAGUUUUUAUGAAUAUUUGAUCAAAUCCUGGUUGAUGUCUGCCAAGACAGACAUGGAGGCUAAAAAUAUGUACUAUGAAGCCUUGGAGGCGAUAGAAACCUACUUGCUGAAUGUCUCUCCCGGGGGGCUGACCUACAUUGCCGAGUGGCGAGGGGGGAUUCUGGACCACAAGAUGGGACACCUGGCCUGUUUCUCAGGGGGCAUGAUCUCCCUCGGCGCUGAGGAUGCCAAGGAAGAAAAGAGGGCCCACUACCAAGAGCUGGCAGCCCAGAUCACCAGGACGUGCCACGAGUCAUACGCCCGCUCAGGCCUUGGAGAAGUACUGCCGGACGGACGCCGGCUUCUCCGGGAUCCAGGACGUGUAUAGCAGCAGCCCCAACCACGACAACAAACAACAGAGCUUCUUUCUAGCUGAGACACUGAAAUACCUCUAUCUUCUGUUCUCUGAAGAUGACACGCUCUCGCUAGAAGACUGGGUGUUCAACACUGAGGCGCAUCCACUGCCUGUGAACCACUCAGACAGCUCCAGCCAGGCCUGGCAGCGACACUGACCCUGGCCCCUGCCACUUGGGCACCUCAGGGAUGCCUUGCCUUUUUGGGAUUUGGGACUGUUCCCAAAGAGAUUGGGAAUGCAAGCCCCAUCCUGGGCAGACCCUGGACAGAUGUGUCAAACAAGCCACUUCUUUUCCUCUGUGAGGAGACAGGACUUGGAGAUGCAGUGAUGGCAGACCAAGGCCAGGUCACACCAGGCCCAGAGAUUCCUUUCUACGGAGAAUUUCUACAAAACCCACUCACUCGCCAUUCCAGGGCUAAAGGACCAGAGGUUUGCAUAUUGAUCCUAGGUGUUUGAUUAAUUUCCUUUUGGUUUGGGGAUUUUUGUUUUUGCUUGAUUUUGCUUUUUCUUUACAGUUGAGUUUUAUUACAAUUAUAAAUACAGUUUUCAAAAUCAUGUGCUUUCUAAAAUGGAGCCAUCCUAAUCAAGGAAACCUUAAAGUAUUUGUACACACACAACCCUGACCCUAUUAUCUAUAUUUUUAAUAUCUUUUGCCCAACAUUUACUCUAUGUUCAAUUACAUGUCACUUACCACAUAAUUUGAGGAGGGGUUCCCCUUUGAUUUGGACUUAAAUGUUACAAAUCACUAGUGCUAUUUUCAUUAUUGUAAUGGAAAAGUAUGUGAACUAGAAUAAAGGAGUUUAUUGAAUAAGAAAUAAGAUUGGGCUCAUUGCACAACAGUGACUCCUCGGGAAAUCACUGCAACGUGAUCAUCAGAAAGAAGAACCAACUGGCAUUUGAUUUAUUUAAGGUAUAAUUUACUAAACAAUUCCAAAUUCUAUUACUUCCCAUUCAGUUGUCCAAUAUAUUCAGGAAGUGGGAGGCCAAUCCAUUAGGUAUGGAGUUGGAGAUUUAUACUCAGGUUGAGACUUGGAAGAAGCCCAGAGAGGAGCAGCAACUUGCCUGAAGCCUCGAAGCCAGUAGAAGGCAGAGAUGAGCCUGACCCUGGGUUUUCUGGCCACCAGAGUCCUUUGUUCAUCUACUCCAUCAUUCAGCAGAUGCAUGGUGAGCACCUGCAGUGGACCAGAUGCUGGGCUAAAAGCCAGGGACACAGCUGACAGCGAUAGUCAUAAGCCCUGCAGUCAAGGGAGACAGAUGAUAAAGGUAACCUGCAGAUAGAUGAAACGGCCACAUGUUGAGGAAAUGCUACAAAGGCAAUGACAGAUGGGACUGGGCCAGCAAUCGUCAGGACCUUUCAUAGGGACCAGGGAGGACUUCUCUGGGCAGGUGACCUUCCAGCCAAGACCUAGAUGAGCAGCAGGAAGAGUUGUCUGGCAGCAGGAUGAGCAUCCUCCAAUCCCAGAACCUCUUCCUCUCCCAGUGCCCGGCACUGCUGCCUGGUGAGAGGCCUGAAACAGAGGCCACUACAGAGCAAGGCCUCACCCCACCCACACCCACACUUGCCCUUUAGCCGCACUGCCAAGGUCACAGGCAAAUGCUGAGCCCUUCCCUGAGCUCCGCUGCUUCAUCCUGGCUCAGAUCCUAAACUUCAGUAGCCUUCAGGGUGUUGGGGCUCUGGGCUGGGAAACCUGGCUUUUAAAUCCCUGCUGUGUGAAUCCAGGCACUCACCUCACCUCUCUGGGCUCUUCAUCAGGCAGAGGGAGAUUUACACCUCCUAAGAUUGCUGUGAGAAUAAAUGGGGUGCUCUUAGUGCUCUGGGGGUGCUACUUCCUUGUUCUGGGGGCUUGGACAGCCCCAGGAUCUCCUUGAGCAGGGCUGUGGGUGCACAGCCCCUGUAGCAGGAAUCCUGGCAUUCAAUACAAAAGUCUCUGAGCUCUUUCUGGGCAUCAGGGACGUGGGCCUCUGCAACCCACUGUACACAAAAGACAAAAAACUCACGCACAAACAUGGCAGGGAGAUUAGGAAGUUGAGAUACACAGAAAGAAAGAUCGUUUGCCAUCCUACUCUCUGGAAUGAAUAGUGUUAUUUUUUAUUCUAGACCUUUUUCUAUGAAUAUAUAGAAUAUAUAUUUUGCAAAUAUGGUAUCAUCCUAUACAUACUGUUUUCUUAUAAUCUGCUUUUGCAUUUAACUAUAUACUGUGAAUCUCUUUCCAUGUCAACAAAUAUACAUUUAUGUCAUCGCUGUA
Molecule: RNA transcript, 4005 nt
Organism: Heterocephalus glaber (naked mole-rat)
Lineage: Eukaryota; Metazoa; Chordata; Mammalia; Rodentia; Bathyergidae
Gene: Man1c1
Gene name: mannosidase alpha class 1C member 1
Source: RefSeq, a predicted model, not a curated record